GAGGUGAGGUUGAAAGGAGUUGGCUGCCAAAGAAAAUUCAAUGUGUCAAGAAAGGGAGCAGAACAAGCUGAUAGCAGCACUUGACCGUACUCACAUCCUUCCUCGUCACACGUAACUGGAACACGCAGAACGCAAUACCACGUGCUCAGGAAUGCGGCGUAACGAGACAUCCAAUUUCAACAGACAACAGCAGCAGUAUUCAGCAACCGUGCUGUUGGCAUUAUCGACUACAGAAAUUUGAAAAUUGGUUUUGCAGUUAUCAUCAAUGGCUCAAGGCCCAUGACAGAUUUAAUUACAGAUAUUUUGUGGGCAGUAAAAGUGUACAUGCAGAUAUAAUAGGUAAAUGUUUAACUGAAUUAGAUUACUUUAGGUUAGAUUGUAAAUAAGAAUAGUUUUAUGAUUUGUACAAAUGUGUGUGCGUUCUUACUGUCUCAUACUAUUUACUUACGAACAUUAAUAACAGUUCACAUAUUGAGUACAGUUAAUGUAGACAUUAGAACGACCUAUUUUAGCUUCAUCUUGCUGUAAGUUGACGUUGCACAAACUAUGAUGUUCACGUAUAGAUCAACUAUGUUGGUUCCAGUUAUUAAAAGGGCUAGUGCUGUUGUAUAUGCAUAGUAGGUAAUAUGAUAUUGUUAUUAGUUGUUGCAUAUUAUAAUUGUACCACAUGAAUAUUAAGUCAUGUAUAUGAAAACAUUUGCCCAAUUCUGUAACUCGGACUUUCAUCGAUGUUAUCCUCUUUUGAUAAUUAAGUUGUUUUCAAGAAAACGGAGACACUGUGACAUUGUGACACCGUCGCCCCACAAAUGUACUGUUCCGAAAUAAUCAAUAAGACAUCAGCCAGAGUCCGAGAGUGAGGCA
This is a non-coding RNA of Zootermopsis nevadensis, 861 nucleotides long. Lineage: Eukaryota; Metazoa; Arthropoda; Insecta; Blattodea; Termopsidae. The record is from RefSeq and is a predicted model, not a curated record.